AACGAACGCUGGCGGCAUGCCUAACACAUGCAAGUCGAACGAGACCUUCGGGUCUAGUGGCGCACGAGUGCGUAACGCGUGGGAACCUGCCCUUAGGUUCGGAAUAACUCCCCGAAAGGGGUGCUAAUACCGGAUAAUGUCUUCGGACCAAAGAUUUAUCGCCUUUGGAUGGGCCCGCGUUGGAUUAGCUAGUUGGUAGGGUAAACGCCUACCAAGGCGACGAUCCAUAGCUGGUCUGAGAGGAUGAUCAGCCACACUGGGACUGAGACACGGCCCAGACUCCUACGGGAGGCAGCAGUGGGGAAUAUUGGACAAUGGGCGAAAGCCUGAUCCAGCAAUGCCGCGUGAGUGAUGAAGGCCUUAGGGUUGUAAAGCUCUUUUACCCGGGAUGAUAAUGACGGUACCGGGAGAAUAAGCUCCGGCUAACUCCGUG
Molecule: ribosomal RNA, 433 nt
Filed under: uncultured bacterium
Lineage: Bacteria
Description: partial 16S ribosomal RNA
Rfam family: Bacterial small subunit ribosomal RNA
Source: RNAcentral